Molecule: long non-coding RNA, 378 nt
Organism: Oncorhynchus tshawytscha (Chinook salmon)
Lineage: Eukaryota; Metazoa; Chordata; Actinopteri; Salmoniformes; Salmonidae
Source: Ensembl
UGAGAGUUUUUGAUGAUAGCUUUACAGCUAUCAUUGUGUCAAUCAUUUAUCAAUGUCUGAUGCUUCCUGGAGCUCCUCCAGGGCUUAGAAUUGAUUGACUACGUUACCAUCGAAACAGCAUCCCUGUCCCAGACAAUGGGUCAAGAAAUGGAAGGGAAGAACAGACAAUCAAACUCACUCCACAAAGACAGCAAAUCUUCUAAUCAAAUACAGUUUGCAGACGACACAACAGUAGUAGGCCUGAUUACCAGCAAAGAUGAGGAGGAGGUGAGGGGCCUGGCAGAGUGGUGCCAGGAAAAUAACCUCUCUCUCAACGUCAACAAAAACGAAGGAGCUGAUUGUGGACUUCAGGAAACAGCAAAGGGAGCACCCCACCUA